GUAGGGGGCAAGCGUUGUCCGGAAUUAUUGGGCGUAAAGCGCGCGCAGGCGGUCAUGUAAGUCUGGUGUUUAAUCCCGGGGCUCAACCCCGGAUCGCACUGGAAACUGUGUGACUUGAGUGCAGAAGAGGAGAGUGGAAUUCCACGUGUAGCGGUGAAAUGCGUAGAGAUGUGGAGGAACACCAGUGGCGAAGGCGACUCUCUGGGCUGUAACUGACGCUGAGGCGCGAAAGCGUGGGGGAGCAAACAGGAUUAGAUACCCUGGUAGUCCACGCCGUAAACGAUGAGUGCUAGGUGUUAGGGGGUUUCGAUACCCCCCUUGGUGCCGAAGUUAACACAUUAAGCACUCCGCCUGGGGAGUACGGUCGCAAGACUG
RNAcentral lists this ribosomal RNA (375 nucleotides) under uncultured organism. Its description in RNAcentral is "partial 16S ribosomal RNA". It matches the Rfam family "Bacterial small subunit ribosomal RNA", at positions 527 to 896 of the family's 1533-position model. The record is from RNAcentral.